CAGUAGCCGCGGUAACACGGAGGGUGCAAGCGUUAAUCGGAAUUACUGGGCGUAAAGCGCACGCAGGCGGUUUGAUAAGUCAGAUGUGAAAUCCCUGGGCUUAACCUGGGAACUGCAUUUGAUACUGUCAGGCUAGAGUCUUGUAGAGGGGGGUGGAAUUCCAGGUGUAGCGGUGAAAUGCGUAGAGAUCUGGAGGAAUACCGGUGGCGAAGGCAGCCACCUGGACAAAUACUGACGCUCAGGUGCGAAAGCGUGGGGAGCAAACAGGAUUAGAUACCCCUGUAGUCCCUGUCUCUUAUAC
RNAcentral lists this ribosomal RNA (301 nucleotides) under uncultured bacterium. RNAcentral's name for it is "partial 16S ribosomal RNA". It matches the Rfam family "Bacterial small subunit ribosomal RNA", at positions 509 to 807 of the family's 1533-position model. The record is from RNAcentral.